UGACAGGUGUCUCAGGCCAGGCCCUGGAGUCAUCCAGGAUCCCAGGCUUGUUUUCACCAACAAAUCAUGAACCUCUGAAUAGUAUGGGCAGUGCUUGAACUUUCCUGGAUGAGUGGUGAGCAAGGUUUCUUGGCAUCAUCUGGAGACAGCCGCACAGGGGGCCAAUUCUUAUGCAGAAACAAGUCAGAUCUUCUGCCUUGUCUCCACGGUCACAAUAAGCACCAUGAGGCACCCUGCAGUAGUAAAAUGUAUGGAAAAGGAUGUUGAGUCUGGAGACCCAGCUCCGGUUGCUUGCUGGUUGUGUGAACCAAAUCACUUACAUCUCUCAUGCUUUUUCUCAUCUGUAAAUUAAGGGUUUUAACAGAUCAUAGGAUUUAGAGAUUGAAGGUACCUUAACAAUGAUCUAGUCCAAAUACUUUAUUUUAUAAAUGAAGAAACUGAGGUUCAAGAGGUUAAGUAAUUUGCCUGAGGUCACACAGGAUGAGAGCUAGGACUAGAUUCAGACUUCCCUAACAUCAAAUACAGGGCUCUUCCCACUUCCCCUCCUGAUGAUACCAAACUCACCUGAUUUUGUUGGGAAAGCUCAAAUGAGAUAAUGCAUAAAGUGCUUUGUAAACCUUAAAAUGCCAUGUAAAUAUCAGUGAUUGGUAUUAUUGUCCCUACCAUCACCAUCACCACCAGUGUUGUGAAGCAUGAGCCUCUGACAGGUGAGAAGAGAUUUAAAGAACUCUUCUGCAAUCAUCCUUACCUUCCGGAACAUUAGUGAAGAGGAGACUGACAAAACCCUUCAUGAAGAACGUUCUCCAGCGGUAGCCUCCAGUAUUCGAUGCCGAUUUAACCUACCACAACUAUCCCAGGAUCUAGAGGGGAGCCCCACAACUUUGGGGCCCCGGCUUCAUGCCCUUUCUGACCAUCUCAAGCACAGCUUACAGUUUAGAGUAGCACCUUAGAGUACAAACUGCAUCCAGGUGGGCAAAUCAUUGCAAUAUAUUUUGGUUAAAGCUCAGCUUUGUCCAGCUUUACCCCAUACAUCGGGACAUCUGUCAGAGCUCCACCAUGCCUCAUACCCAGGCCUACCAGAUUCUCUCUCUUACCCCAGUCCUUGUAUAAAGGAAGGUCAUUUCUGCCUGUACUCUAGGUAGACAAACCCAAUGUCAAGUUGAAGCAAUUCUGCUGCCUGAAUGGGACAUCUGGGUGUCUUUUUCUCUUCCUUAGAUCCCGUGUUCAGAAUCUCCUGAGCUCAUCUUCCUGUUGAGCUCUGAAUCUA
This 1267-nucleotide long non-coding RNA is filed under the name Vombatus ursinus (common wombat). RNAcentral's name for it is "lncRNA (ENSVURG00010001825.1)". The record is from RNAcentral. Lineage: Eukaryota; Metazoa; Chordata; Mammalia; Diprotodontia; Vombatidae.